RNAcentral lists this ribosomal RNA (492 nucleotides) under uncultured bacterium. Its description in RNAcentral is "partial 16S ribosomal RNA". It matches the Rfam family "Bacterial small subunit ribosomal RNA", at positions 29 to 507 of the family's 1533-position model. The record is from RNAcentral.
AGUGAACGCUGGCGGUAGGCCUAACACAUGCAAGUCGAACGGCAGCACAGUAAGAGCUUGCUCUUACGGGUGGCGAGUGGCGGACGGGUGAGGAAUACAUCGGAAUCUACUUUUUCGUGGGGGAUAACGUAGGGAAACUUACGCUAAUACCGCAUACGACCUACGGGUGAAAGCAGGGGAUCUUCGGACCUUGCGCGAUUGAAUGAGCCGAUGUCGGAUUAGCUAGUUGGCGGGGUAAAGGCCCACCAAGGCGACGAUCCGUAGCUGGUCUGAGAGGAUGACACCCCACACUGGAACGGAACCCCGGCCCGGCCCCCUCCGGGAGGCGGCGUGGGGGAAUAUUGGACAAGGGCCCCAGGCCUAACCCCCCCAUACCGCGUGGGUGAAGAAGCCCUUGGGGUUUUAAACCCUUUUUGUGGGGAAAAAAAAGCAGCAGUUUAAUCCCCCGGUGUUCUGACGUUACCCAAAAAAUAACCACCGGCUAUCUUCGUG